Molecule: long non-coding RNA, 1664 nt
Filed under: Pelobates cultripes (western spadefoot toad)
Lineage: Eukaryota; Metazoa; Chordata; Amphibia; Anura; Pelobatidae
Source: RNAcentral
GCACUCAGCAAUACGGCUGCAGAUAAAAUACAGAGCAAAUCCAAAGCAAUUCAUUAUAUGAAGAAAAGUUAGUCAUCUACAUCAAAAGAGUGCAAUUGGUCAACGACCAUUUGAGGACAGACGUGUUCAGACAAACAAAAGUAAAUAACUAUUUUUUUCAUGUUUUUUUCUCUUUUUUUCGAAGAAUACAGUGUUAAAGAAGGAAAUAUACCCAUAAAUAUACAAAAUAACAGACCAUUUAAAAAGAGCAGAAAGUGGAAUAUUUAGGUAAUAUCCAAGGACACCAUCCGAAAGGUCCCCGAACAUUUGAUGCACACUCAUACUCAGAACUUUUUUACAAAAUAAGAGCAAUAAGAACACACUCAAUUUCUGCAAUCUACGUCUAUUGAGAGCUCAAGUUAAAAUGGAUUGCAUAUACAAGAACUCAUAGAUAGUGAUUCUGCUUUGCUAAGGGCUGUGGAAGGCUCAGUUUAGAAUGUAUUUCCCUGGGAUAUUCCUGGUUGAUAAUGUGUUUUAUCUCACCUUAAAUGUUUGUAUCACUACCACUUUUAAAAGUGGGAGCUGCAAAACGCAGUGUUUUAUGACCACCAACAACUAUAGUCUUUUAGAAUGUGGUUAGUUAAGGGAAAGUGAUUGUGUGUGUGUGUGUGUGUGAUGAUAAAUGUGUGUAUGUAGAACUGGUAACAAGUGGUUGGCGACCUUUGAAAAGAGUUUUAUGAAGAAGAAACAUAAUUGUGUGUAUAUAGUAUUAAUGGAGCUAUUAAAUUGGGUAGACAAGGGACUAGCAGCCACCUUUACACAUGGAUACAGUAUUAAUGGAGCUAUUAAAUUGGGUAGGUAAGGGGCUAGCAGCCUCCUUUACACAUGGAUACAGUAUUAAUGGUGCUAUUAAAUUGGGUAGACAAGGGACUAGCAGCCACCUUUACACAUGGAUACAGUAUUAAUGGUGCUAUUAAAUUGGGUAGGUAAGGGGCUAGCAGCCUCCUUUACACAUGAAUACAGUAUUAAUGGUGCUAUUAAAUUGGGUAGGUAAGGGGCUAGCAGCCUCCUUUACACAUGGAUACAGUAUUAAUGGAGCUAUUAAAUUGGGUAGGUAAGGGGCUAGGAUCCACCUUUACACAUGGAUACGGUAUUAAUGGUGCUAUUAAAUUGGGUAGGUAAGAGGCCAGGAACCACCAUUACACAUGGAUACGGUAUUAAUGGUGCUAUUAAAUUGGGUAGGUAAGGGGCUAGAAGCCUCCUUUACACAUGCAUACGGUAUUAAUGGUGCUAUUAAAUUGGGUAGGUAAGGGGCUAGGAGCCACCAUUACACAUGGAUACAGUAUUAAUGGUGCUAUUAAAUUGGGUAGGUAAGGGGCUAGGAGCCACCAUUACACAUGGAUACAGUAUUAAUGGUGCUAUUAAAUUGGGUAGGUAAGGGGCUAGGAGCCACCAUUACACAUGGAUACAGUAUUAAUGGUGCUAUUAAAUUGGGUAGGUAAGGGGCUAGGAGCCACCAUUACACAUGGAUACAAUAUUAAUGGUGCUAUUAAAUUGGGUAGGUAAGGGGCUAGGAGCCACCAUCACACAUGGAUACAGUAUUAAUGGUGCUAUUAAAUUGGGUAGGUAAGGGGCUAGGAGCCACCAUUACACAUGGAUACAAUAUUAAUGGUGCUAUUAAAUUG